UGCGUGAAGUUGGAAUCGCUAGUAAUCGCGGAUCAGCAUGCCGCGGUGAAUACGUUCCCGGGCCUUGUACACACCGCCCGUCACACCAUGAGAGUCGGGAACACCCGAAGUCCGUAGCCUAACCGCAAGGGGGGCGCGGCCGAAGGUGGGUUCGAUAAUUGGGGUGAAGUCGUAACAAGGUAGC
This 184-nucleotide ribosomal RNA is filed under the name uncultured bacterium. Its description in RNAcentral is "partial 16S ribosomal RNA". It matches the Rfam family "Bacterial small subunit ribosomal RNA", at positions 1317 to 1500 of the family's 1533-position model. The record is from RNAcentral.